RNAcentral lists this ribosomal RNA (331 nucleotides) under uncultured bacterium. Its description in RNAcentral is "bacterial SSU rRNA". It matches the Rfam family "Bacterial small subunit ribosomal RNA", at positions 570 to 898 of the family's 1533-position model. The record is from RNAcentral.
CGUAGGCGGUUUUUUAAGUCAGAUGUGUAAUCCCCGAGCUUAACUUGGGAACUGCAUCUGAGACUGGAAGGCUAGAGUACUGGAGAGGGUGGUGGAAUUCCUCGUGUAGCGGUGAAAUGCGUAGAGAUGAGGAGGAACACCAGUGGCGAAGGCGGCCACCUGGACAGUAACUGACGCUGAGGCGCGAAAGUGUGGGUAGCAAACAGGAUUAGAUACCCUGGUAGUCCACGCUGUAAACGAUGAACACUUGGUGUGGAGGGAGUUGACCCCUUCCGUGCCGGAGCUAACGCGUUAAGUGUUCCGCCUGGGGAGUACGGUCGCAAAGGCUGAA